This 331-nucleotide ribosomal RNA is filed under the name bacterium ocnta401lb834offnp11.19. RNAcentral's name for it is "bacterial SSU rRNA". It matches the Rfam family "Bacterial small subunit ribosomal RNA", at positions 49 to 381 of the family's 1533-position model. The record is from RNAcentral.
CUACACAUGCAGUCGACGGUAGCACAGAGAGCUUGCUCUCGGGUGACGAGUGGCGGACGGGUGAGUAAUGUCUGGGAACUGCCUGAUGGAGGGGGAUAACUACUGGAAACGGUAGCUAAUACCGCAUAACGUCGCAAGACCAAAGAGGGGGACCUUCGGGCCUCUUGCCAUCAGAUGUGCCCAGAUGGGAUUAGCUAGUAGGUGGGGUAACGGCUCACCUAGGCGACGAUCCCUAGCUGGUCUGAGAGGAUGACCAGCCACACUGGAACUGAGACACGGUCCAGACUCCUACGGGAGGCAGCAGUGGGGAAUAUUGCACAAUGGGCGCAAG